AGCAGCCGCGGUAAUUCCAGCUCCAAUAGCGUAUAUUAAAGUUGUUGCAGUUAAAAAGCUCGUAGUUGAAUUUCGAGAUCAAUUUGUCGGUCGUGCCUCGGUACGUACUGGCAUUAUUGAUUUCUCCCUUCUGAAGAACCGCGAUGUCAUUAAUUUGGUGUCGUGGGGAAUCAGGACUGUUACUUUGAAAAAUUAGAGUGUUUAAAGCAGGCUCACGCUUGAAUACAUUAGCAUGGAAUAAUGAAAUAGGACGUUUGAUUCUAUUUUGUUGGUUUCUAGGAUCGACGUAAUGAUUAAUAGGGAUAGUUGGGGGCAUUAGUAUUCAAUUGUCAGAGGUGAAAUUCUUGGAUUUAUUGAAGACUAACUACUGCGAAAGCAUUUGCCAAGGAUGUUUUCAUUAAUCAAGAACGAAAGUUAGGGGAUCGAAGACGAUCAGAUACCGUCGUAGUCUUAACCAUAAACUAUGCCGACUAGGGAUCGGAUGAUGUUAAUUUUU
RNAcentral lists this ribosomal RNA (496 nucleotides) under uncultured Glomus. Its description in RNAcentral is "SSU rRNA". It matches the Rfam family "Eukaryotic small subunit ribosomal RNA", at positions 569 to 1071 of the family's 1831-position model. The record is from RNAcentral. Lineage: Eukaryota; Fungi; Glomeromycota; Glomeromycetes; Glomerales; Glomeraceae.